RNAcentral lists this ribosomal RNA (497 nucleotides) under uncultured bacterium. Its description in RNAcentral is "partial 16S ribosomal RNA". It matches the Rfam family "Bacterial small subunit ribosomal RNA", at positions 28 to 507 of the family's 1533-position model. The record is from RNAcentral.
GAUGAACGCUGGCGGCGUGCCUAAUACAUGCAAGUCGAGCGAACAGACGAGGAGCUUGCUCCUCUGACGUUAGCGGCGGACGGGUGAGUAACACGUGGAUAACCUACCUAUAAGACUGGGAUAACUUCGGGAAACCGGAGCUAAUACCGGAUAAUAUAUUGAACCGCAUGGUUCAAUAGUGAAAGACGGUUUUGCUGUCACUUAUAGAUGGAUCCGCGCCGCAAUAGCUAGUUGGUAAGGUAACGGCUUACCAAGGCAACGAUGCGUAGCCGUCCUGAGAGGGUGAUCGGCCACACUGGAACUGAGACACGGUCCAGACUCCUACGGGAGGCAGCAGUAGGGAAUCUUCCGCAAUGGGCGAAAGCCUGACGGAGCAACGCCGCGUGAGUGAUGAAGGUCUUCGGAUCGUAAAACUCUGUUAUUAGGGAAGAACAAAUGUGUAAGUAACUAUGCACGUCUUGACGGUACCUAAUCAGAAAGCCACGGCUAACUACGUG